GCCCUGCUGGGGCUUGCACGGCUUCCCCCUUCCCGAGCCCUGCAUCCCCCAGCCCGCCCCGUGCUCGUUCCUGCAUCCCAGCGCUGGCAUCGCGGCACCGCCCGCCAGCCCAGCCGGCCCGGCACCGCAGAGCGCAGCCGCGGUUCGGCCCCRCGCCGUCACCCUGCCCCGCAGCACCCGCGGCAGCGCCUGCUGAAACCCGUGGCCGGCGGACGCCGGAGCAGCCCAGCGCGUCGCCCCGGCCCCCGCGCCGCCUCCGGGCUGUGCCGGGGCAGCGCCCAGCGCCCCGCUCGGCCCCGUCCUGCCCACUCACCGACGCCAUACUUCUCCUCCUUGGUGGGCAGCCAAGGGGCCAUUUCCAGCCGUCCAGCGCGGCGCGGGGACCCGGGGCCCUGCRCGGGGCGUUUGCCUGUUCCUCCCGCCGCGCUUGCCGGGUCACGUGCAUCUCACCGGCUUGUGAAAACCUCCGCUUCCUCAACGCACAGCUGGGCUCUGCGCAGCCAACGGCCCCGCACCCCGCGGCGCGCUGGUGCGAGGGGGCGGUGGGACGGAGACCCCCRGCCCCCUCCGUGGGUGCUGGCCUGCCCCCAGGGCGAUGCUGCAGCGGCAGGUGCCCGCAGGGCCGGGUGGCUGAGCACCGGCUGCCCGAGAGGCCUGGGGAGCCCAGUGGGAUGCAGGGCCGGAGCCUGGGGGCGCGGAGCAACGGGCAGCUCCGGCCACCCCGCAGCGCAGGGAUCUGGCCGGGAGCAGUGCGUUCGGGACAGGCCGUGCAGCACUGCACCGGCACUUCUGGGACGAGGCCUCCGCCUCCRCCUCCCCGGCCGGGGCUGCUCCGUCCGUGUCGCUCGGUGCACAGGGAUCACCAGCACGAAUGCCUGCGUGGCGCGGUGCAGGGCUGGGAUGACGGGCUCUGCGGGACCAUGCCCAGCGCUUUGCUCUCCUUGCAGCAGCCCAAACGGUGAAGCAACGGCUCAGYAUCAAACCACUUCCUUCCUCUCUCAUCCACUGCAAGCCACUCGACGGCCCAGGGCGCCUCUGGAUUCACGGGACCCCGACUGGAUCAGGCACGAGGACUCUUGCCCCAGGCAGCAGAACCCAGCCUGGGCCAGGCCCUCUCCCGCAGGGACGUGCUGCCGGGGACACGCUGUCCUCUCUGGGGCCGUGCUCUCAGCCCUCCUUGGCAGGGCUCCGCAGCCAGGCGGCUGCUCUUGCAGCAUCUGUUUGAGCCGCUUCUCCGUCGGCCCCUUGGAGCCAGCGCCGCGCUCCCUGCCACGAGCGAGCGGUGCCCGAGGCGGCCCCGCACCCUGCUGCGCAGGCUGCCUCCCUCCCCGGCGGCCUGAGCUUGCAGCAGGGUCACCUCGGGCUGCAGCUCUCCCACUCGCCUGA
RNAcentral lists this long non-coding RNA (1386 nucleotides) under Apteryx haastii (Great spotted kiwi). RNAcentral describes it as "lncRNA (ENSAHAG00000010601.1)". The record is from RNAcentral. Lineage: Eukaryota; Metazoa; Chordata; Aves; Apterygiformes; Apterygidae.